This 426-nucleotide ribosomal RNA is filed under the name uncultured bacterium. RNAcentral's name for it is "partial 16S ribosomal RNA". It matches the Rfam family "Bacterial small subunit ribosomal RNA", at positions 354 to 796 of the family's 1533-position model. The record is from RNAcentral.
GUGAGGAAUUUUCCGCAAUGGGCGAAAGCCUGACGGAGCAAUGCCGCGUGAAGGAUGAAGGCCUAUGGGUUGUAAACUUCUUUUCUCAGAAAAGAAUUAUGACGGUAUCUGAGGAAUAAGCAUCGGCUAACUCUGUGCCAGCAGCCGCGGUAAGACAGAGGAUGCAAGCGUUAUCCGGAAUGAUUGGGCGUAAAGCGUCUGUAGGUUGUUUAAAAAGUAUUCUGUCAAAGAUUAGGGCUUAACCCUAGAUAGGCAGAAUAAACUUUUGAGCUAGAGUUUGGUAGGGGCAGAGGGAAUUCGCGGUGGAGCGGUGAAAUGCGUAGAUAGCGGGAGGAACACCAAAGGCGAAGGCACUCUGCUGGGCCAAUACUAACACUGAGGGACGAAAGCGAGGGGAGCAAAUGGGAUUAGAUACCCCGGUAGUCC